UUCGACUGUUUACCAAAAACAUAGCCGUAUUCAAAUUUAUGGGGUGUUACCUGCUCAGUGGGCCGCAAUUUAAUAUAGCUAAUUAUUAUAUAAAGUCGCCUAAACAGCCGGGGUAAUCCUAGACCCUGCUAAGUAAGCAUAAUCGGAUGCCCUUUAAAUGGGGGAGUGUUGAAUGGACAAACGAAGGUAUAACUGUCUUAAAUGAAAGUAAAUUGAAUUAGGAAUAAUAGUGAAGAUACUAUUAAAAAUAGUAGGACGAAAAGACCCUAUGAAGCUUAACUAUAAAUUCAUCAGACAAGAGGUUAUAUUAGAUUAAUAUUAAUAGUGAAAGCAGUUUAUAUACUUCACCUCAGUCAUAGUGGUUAAUUUGGUAGUUUUGGUGGGGUGCCAGCAUGGUAAAAAUAACCUAGAGUUCACAUAUGUAAAAUAUAAUUUACUGGUGUAGAAAACUAUCUUACACAGUUACAAAAGUAGGUAAAAUGACCCUACCCGUUAAAAUUUAUUUAUGGGUAGACAAAGAAUAAAAGCUACUCUAGGGAUAACAGGGCAAUUGAUCUCUUGAGUCUUAUCGGGGGGUCUGUUUGCUACCUCGAUGUUGAAUUAACCUUACCUGGUAGACUAGAAGCGACCAAAGGUGGGACUGUUCGUCCCCUAAGAGGUUACAUGAUUUGAGUUCAUUCCGUA
This 684-nucleotide ribosomal RNA is filed under the name Lensia cossack. RNAcentral's name for it is "partial large subunit ribosomal RNA". It matches the Rfam family "Bacterial large subunit ribosomal RNA", at positions 1795 to 2620 of the family's 2925-position model. The record is from RNAcentral. Lineage: Eukaryota; Metazoa; Cnidaria; Hydrozoa; Siphonophorae; Diphyidae.